Molecule: long non-coding RNA, 1713 nt
Organism: Sebastes umbrosus (honeycomb rockfish)
Lineage: Eukaryota; Metazoa; Chordata; Actinopteri; Perciformes; Sebastidae
Exons: 2
Source: RefSeq, a predicted model, not a curated record
AUUUCUACCUGUUCCAGCCUCAUUUCUUCUUACUGAACAACGACUGUUGAGGUGGAUCUAAACCAGUCAACCGGUGAACCGGUUCACCGGUGUGCCAGUGUGCCAGUGAACCAGUGAACAAGUGAGCCAGUGAGCCAGUGAACAGGUUUUAGGGACAUGAAGUGUUUAGCUGAGGUUGGACAGGUUUUAGUGAUAUGAAGCGUUUAGCUGAGGUUGGACAGGUUUUAGGGACAUGAAGCGUUUAGCUGAGGUUGGACAGGUUUUAGGGACAUGAAGCGUUUAGCUGAGGUUGGACAGGUUUUAGGGACAUGAAGCGUUUAGCUGAGGUUGGACAGGUUUUAGGGAUAUGAAGCGUUUAGCUGAGGUUGGACAGGUUUUAGUGAUAUGAAGUGUUUAGCUGAGGUUGGACAGGUUUUAGGGACAUGAAGCGUUUAGCUGAGGUUGGACAGGUUUUAGGGACAUGAAGCGUUUAGCUGAGGUUGGACAGGUUUUAGGGAUAUGAAGCGUUUAGCUGAGGUUGGACAGGUUUUAGGGAUAUGAAGUGUUUAGCUGAGGUUGGACAGGUUUUAGGGAUAUGAAGUGUUUAGCUGAGGUUGGACAGGUUUUAGUGAUAUGAAGCGUUUAGCUGAGGUUGGACAGGUUUUAGUGAUAUGAAGCGUUUAGCUGAGGUUGGACAGGUUUUAGGGACAUGAAGCGUUUAGCUGAGGUUGGACAGGUUUUAGUGAUAUGAAGUGUUUAGCUGAGGUUGGACAGGUUUUAGGGACAUGAAGCGUUUAGCUGAGGUUAGACAGGUUUUAGUGAUAUGAAGCGUUUAGCUGAGGUUGGACAGGUUUUAGGGAUAUGAAGCGUUUAGCUGAGGUUGGACAGGUUUUAGGGAUAUGAAGCGUUUAGCUGAGGUUGGACAGGUUUUAGGGACAUGAAGCGUUUAGCUGAGGUCUGACAGGUUUUAGUGAUAUGAAGCGUUUAGCUGAGGUUGGACAGGUUUUAGGGAUAUGAAGCGUUUAGCUGAGGUUGGACAGGUUUUAGGGAUAUGAAGCGUUUAGCUGAGGUUGGACAGGUUUUAGGGAUAUGAAGCGUUUAGCUGGGGUUGGACAGGUUUUAGUGAUAUGAAGCGUUUAGCUGAGGUUGGACAGGUUUUAGGGACAUGAAGUGUUUAGCUGAGGUUGGACAGGUUUUGGUGAUAUGAAGUGUUUAGCUGAGGUUGGACAGGUUUUAGUGAUAUGAAGCGUUUAGCUGAGGUUGGACAGGUUUUAGGGAUAUGAAGCGUUUAGCUGAGGUUGGACAGGUUUUAGGGACAUGAAGUGUUUAGCUGAGGUUGAACAGGUUUUAGUGAUAUGAAGUGUUUAGCUGAGGUUGGACAGGUUUUAGGGACAUGAAGCGUUUAGCUGAGGUUGGACAGGUUUUAGUGAUAUGAAGUGUUUAGCUGAGGUUGGACAGGUUUUAGGGACAUGAAGUGUUUAGCUGAGGUUGGACAGGUUUUAGGGACAUGAAGUGUUUAGCUGAGGUUGGACAGGUUUUAGUGAUAUGAAGUGUUUAGCUGAGGUUGGACAGGUUUUAGUGAUAUGAAGUGUUUAGCUGAGGUUGGACAGGUUUUAGGGACAUGAAGUGUUUAGCUGAGGUUGGACAGAUUUUAGGGACAUGAAGCGUUUAGCUGAGGUUGGACAGGUUUUAGGGACAUGAAGCGUUUAGCUGAGGUUGGACAGGUUUUAGGGA